RNAcentral lists this ribosomal RNA (253 nucleotides) under uncultured bacterium. RNAcentral describes it as "partial 16S ribosomal RNA". It matches the Rfam family "Bacterial small subunit ribosomal RNA", at positions 524 to 776 of the family's 1533-position model. The record is from RNAcentral.
CACGUAGGGGGCAAGCGUUGUCCGGAUUUAUUGGGCGUAAAGAGCUCGUAGGUGGCUUAGUAAGUCGGGUGUGAAAGCCCCGUGCUCAACAUGGGAAUUGCACUUGAAACUGGUUAACUUGAAGAUAUGAGGGGAUGGCGGAAUAACUGGUGUAGAGGUAAAAUUCAUAGAUAUCAGUUGGAACACCCAUGGCGAAGGCAGCUAUCUGGCAUAUUCUUGACUCUGAGCGACGACAGCGUGGGGAGCAAACAGG